This is an RNA transcript of Vespa velutina, 2585 nucleotides long. It is a transcript of the gene named CREB-regulated transcription coactivator 1 homolog, with no coding region annotated. NCBI's taxonomy places the organism in Eukaryota, Metazoa, Arthropoda, Insecta, Hymenoptera, Vespidae. The record is from RefSeq and is a predicted model, not a curated record. The transcript has 3 exons.
AACGUAAGCGUUACGUAUAUACGUACGUAAAGUACGUACUCUGAUCGUUAAUAAAUGAACAUGAGGGCGCUGUCGAUGUCGAAAACGAUGUCGACCAAUGGGCCCGCGAAAAUGGUGUUGCUGCGCGUAACGUGUGGCGCGCAGUGCCGCAUAAUUUAGGGUAUCGUAGUGGAUCGUCAGUGCCAUCGAGAAGGCAGUCGGUUACGGAUUUGAAAAGUGAACGAACGAACGAACGAACGAAAGAAAGAGAGAAAGAAAGAGAGAAAGAAAAAAAGAAAGAGAGAAAGAAAGAAAAAAAGAAAGAGAGAGAGAGAGAGAAAGAGAAUCAAGGCUGAGGUUGAUCGAAGUAAAGCAAAGCAAAGCAAAGUAAAGCAAAGUAAAGCAAAGCAAAGCUAAGCUAAGCUAAGCAAAGCUAAGCUAAGCUGAGCGGAGCGGAGCGAGCCGUAGCCGAGCCGAGCUGAGCCGAGUUGAACCGAGUUGAGCCGAGCUGAACGAGCGAGCGAGCAAACGAGGGAGCGAGCUAGCUAGCUCAGCUAGUUAGUUUAACAAACGAACGACGACUACGAGAGAAAAAGAAAGAGAGAAAGAAAACGAGCAAGCAAGCGAGCUAGCGAGCAAACGAACGAACGAACGGAACGAACUCGGCGGUGGUGGUGGUGGUGGUGGUGGUGGUGGUUGGUGGUGGUGUGUUGUUCUUCAGUGGUGGUGUGUUUAAUAGUGUGUCUUCGUCGUAUCGACUAGUACGUCGCGCGCGUGUGGUGUACCGCGUUCGUGAAUUCACACGAGUUUUGUUGUGUUACGACGAACGUGCCGUGCCGUGCGUGCGUACGUACGUACGUACGUGCGUAUUCUUCUUUCUAUUUCUUUUCCGUGAGUGCGUGCGUGCGUACGUACGUGCGUGCGUGCGUGCGUGCGUGCGCGCGCUUACGCUGGUGUGUGUGUGUGUGUGUGAGUGCGCGUAUCGUGCGUACAGCGUGUAUCAUAUACAUAUAUAAGAAAAAGUUAAUAUAGUGUUCUUUCCUCUACUCUCCUUCUUAAUCGUGUGUCGAUGAAAAGGAGGUUCCUUUAAAGUGAGAGAGUGAGUGAUCGAGACAGAGAGAGAGAGAGAGAGAGAGAGAGAGAGAGAGAGAGAGAGAGAGAGAGAGAAUAAGAGAAAGAGAAAGAGACAAUCUCCUAGUGUGUGUGUGUGUAGUCCGAUCUCGGAAAAGUCCAGUGGCGGCCGCUAAGAGAGAGAGAGCCAUCAUGGCGAAUCCACGGAAAUUCAGUGAAAAGAUUGCCUUGCUCAACCAGAAGGAGGCGCAGGAAACGGCAGCAUUUGAAGCGAUCAUGCGAGAAGUAUCGGACGUCACGAGCAGAGUCGCGUCGGCAAGCAGCUCGGUGGGUGCGAGUCCUACGGGAUCUGGUGUCCCGGAUGCCCCCCUCUCCGUCAAAAGUGCCGGUGCCAGUCCUCCGCAAUCCAGUGGCAAGCAUCUUCACAUUAACCUGGGCAAUCAGUUUCGAGCUGGAGGUUCAUUGCCUAACGUUAACAACAAUGCUAACUGUGCCAACGACACGAAGGAGCAUCAUCCUUCGCAACACACUGGCGCCGUUCAUUCGAUCGAUCUUAAGGUAUUGGAUGAUCAUCAUCAUCAUCAUCAUCAUCAUCAUCAUUAUUAUUAUUAUUAUUGUCAUCAUCACUUACCAACACCAACACCAAUACCAAUACCAUCACUAUUGUUGUUAUUAUUAUUAUUAUUAUUAUUAUUAUUAUUAUUAUUAUAUAAUUCACUCUCUGUCUUUCCUCUCGUUGUAUUUUAUUUUUAUGAUUGAGAGAGAGAGAGAGGGAGAGAGAGAGAGAGAGAGAGAGAGAGAGAGAGAGAUACAUACAUACAUACAUGCAUAAAUGCAUACAUCAUAAACCACUAGCACGCUUAUUGUGUUAUUUUUUCUUUCUGUAUUCUUCUGAUUCUUCUUCUUCUUCUUCUUCUUCUUCUUCUCCUUUUUCUUUUUUUAAUUUCUUUUUAGUUUUGUUUGUUUCAUUUUUGUGUCGAUUGCACGUCAAUAAAACACAGCAUGGCAAAGUUUUCUACGUUAUUACAUCAGCAUUUGUAGUUAAUUGUUAGAUAUUUAUGUUUAGUAAUAAUAAGUGUUGCAUAAUGUAAUUCGAUCGUUUAAUUAUUUAAUUAUGUCGUAUAUAGGAUCGAUAGAUCAUUUCUCGACGUGGAAAAAAUAAAGAGAGAGAGAGAGGGGGGGGAGGAGGGAGGAGGGAGAGAGAGAGAGGAUAAAUAAAUAAAGUAAUAAUUAUUUCAAUGUAAAUAUAUAUAUAUAUAUACAUGAAAUCAAACAUUAUCUAACAACGUUUCUUUUAUUAUCUUCUCUUAUUUAUGAUCAUGCGAUUUGUAAAUUUCCAUCGAUUAAAAAAUUAUUAUCAUUCCUCUUCUUGAUCUAUAGAUCAAUUAUUAUCGAACAUCAUUGAAAUUCUUGUCCUUUAAUUAAUUAUAAUCAAUUAUUUAUUGAAUGAAUAAUACUCACAGUUUCUUUUCAUUUUAUAUUUUAUGAUACUUGAAAUUGUAUUAUUUUUCUCUCUCUUUCCCUUUUUCUCUCUC